UCUCAAGAAUAAUAAGAGCAUUUGGUGGAUGCCUUGGUAGUUACAGGCGAUGAAAGACGUGAUACGCUGCGAUAAGUCACGGGGAGGUGCGAAUAACCUUUGAUCCGUGAAUUUCUGAAUGGGGAAACCCGGCCCUUUGGGUCACUGCAUAGUGAAUACAUAGCUAUGUGGAGCAAACCCGGUGAACUGAAAUAUCUAAGUAGCCGGAGGAAAAGAAAUCAACCGAGAUUCCGUUAGUAGUGACGAGCGAACGCGGACCAGGCCAGUGACAUUUAUAUAAUAACUAGAACAAUCUGGAAAGAUUGGCCAUAGUGGGUGAUAGCCCCGUAUAGGUAAAAGUUAUAGAUGUCCUUGAGUAGGGCGGAACACGUGAAAUUCUGUCUGAAUAUGGGAGGACCACCUUCCAAGCCUAAAUACUCGUAACUAACCGAUAGUGAACAAGUACCGUGAGGGAAAGGUGAAAAGAACCCCGACGAGGGGAGUGAAAUAGAUUCUGAAACCAAAUGCUUACAAGCAGUCGGAGCAUCUUUAUGAUGUGACGGCGUACCUUUUGUAUAAUGGGUCAGCGACUUAAUUUAUAAUGCAAGCUUAAACCGAUAGGUGUAGGCGUAGCGAAAGCGAGUCUUAAUAGGGCGAUUAGUACUAUGGAUUAAACCCGAAACCGAGUGAUCUAGCCAUGGCCAGGUUGAAGGUGAAGUAACAUUCACUGGAGGACCGAACCCACCUAUGUUGAAAAAUGGGGGGAUGAGCUGUGGCUAGGGGUGAAAGGCCAAUCAAACUCGGAAAUAGCUGGUUCUCCGCGAAAACUAUUUAGGUAGUGCGUCGCAAUACACCAUCGGGGGUAGAGCACUGGAUGGGCUAGGGGGUCCUAUCGACUUACCAAACCUAACCAAACUCCGAAUACCGAUGAGUGCUUUUGCGGCAGACACACUGUGGGUGCUAAGGUCCACAGUGGAAAGGGAAACAGCCCAGACCUCCAGCUAAGGUCCCCAAAUCAUGGCUAAGUGGAAAAGGAUGUGAGAAGACCAAAACAACCAGGAGGUUGGCUUAGAAGCAGCCAUCCUUUAAAGAAAGCGUAACAGCUCACUGGUCUAAAUAAGUCUUUUUGCGCCGAAGAUGUACCGGGGCUAAAGCCAUGUACCGAAGCUGAGGAUUUGCGAUUUAUCGCAAGUGGUAGCGGAGCGUUGUGUAAGUCUGUGAAGGUGAAUCGUAAGGUUUGCUGGAGAUAUCACAAGUGAGAAUGCUGACAUGAGUAACGACAAAAAGUGUGAGAAACACUUUCGCCGAAAGUCCAAGGUUUCCUGCGUAAAGCUAAUCUACGCAGGGUUAGUCGGCCCCUAAGGCGAGGCCGAAAGGCGUAGUCGAUGGGAAACAGGUUAAUAUUCCUGUACCUGUAGGUAGUGACGGAUGACGUAAAUUGUAUUUCCUUAUUGGAUUGGAGAUGCAGUGAAGUUGUCCCUGGAAAUAGCUCCUACGACAUAGACCGUACCCCAAACCGACACAGGUGGACAGGUAGAGUAUACCAAGGCGCUUGAGAAAACGAUAUUGAAGGAACUAGGCAAAUUGCACGCGUAACUUCGGAAGAAGCGUGACCUCUAUUAAGGCAACUUUUUAGAGGUGGCACAGACCAGGGGGUUGCGACUGUUUACUAAAAACACAGGGCUCUGCAAACACUUUAAGUGGAAGUAUAGGGUCUGACGCCUGCCCAGUGCCGGAAGGUUAAGUGGAGUGGUGAGAGCUACGAAAUGAAGCCCCGGUGAACGGCGGCCGUAACUAUGACGGUCCUAAGGUAGCGAAAUUCCUUGUCGGGUAAGUUCCGACCCGCACGAAUGGCGUAACGACAUCCCCGCUGUCUCCAAUAUCGACUCAGUGAAAUUGAACUCUCCGUGAAGAUGCGGAGUUCCCGCGGUUAGACGGAAAGACCCCGUGCACCUUUACUACAGCUUUGCAGUGGUAUUAGGGAUGUUAUGUGCAGCAUAGGUGGGAGACUUUGAAGCGAGGGCGCUAGUCCUUGUGGAGUCAUCAUUGAGAUACCACCCUUAGCAUUCUUGAUACCUAACCGAGGUCCAUGAAACUGGAUCCGGGACCCUGCAUGGUGGGUAGUUUGACUGGGGCGGUCGCCUCCCAAAUCGUAACGGAGGCGCGCGAAGGUAAGCUCAGGCUGGUCGGAAAUCAGCUUUUAGAGUGUAAUGGCAUAAGCUUGCCUGACUGCGAGACUGACAGGUCGAGCAGAGACGAAAGUCGGUCAUAGUGAUCCGGUAGUUCUUCGUGGAAGGGCUAUCGCUCAACGGAUAAAAGGUACGCCGGGGAUAACAGGCUGAUACUGCCCAAGAGUCCAUAUCGACGGCAGUGUUUGGCACCUCGAUGUCGGCUCAUCUCAUCCUGGGGCUGGAGCAGGUCCCAAGGGUAUGGCUGUUCGCCAUUUAAAGAGGUACGUGAGCUGGGUUUAGAACGUCGCGAGACAGUUCGGUCCCUAUCUGCCGUGGGCGCAAGGAAUUUUGAGAGGAUCUGACUUUAGUACGAGAGGACCGAGUUGGACAUACCUCUGGUGUACCAGUUGUUCCGCCAGGAGCAUUGCUGGGUAGCUAAGUAUGGAAGGGAUAACCGCUGAAAGCAUCUAAGCGGGAAACCCACCUCAAGAUUAGAAUUCCCUAUUAGAGCCGUGGAAGACCACCACGUUGAUAGGCCAGGUGUGGAAGCGCAGUAAUGUGUGAAGCUAACUGGUACUAAUGGCUCGAUUGACUUGAUUUU
RNAcentral lists this ribosomal RNA (2751 nucleotides) under Rickettsiales bacterium. Its description in RNAcentral is "23S ribosomal RNA". It matches the Rfam family "Bacterial large subunit ribosomal RNA". The record is from RNAcentral. Lineage: Bacteria; Pseudomonadati; Pseudomonadota; Alphaproteobacteria; Rickettsiales.